UCCCUGGUGGUCCAGUGGCUAAGACUCUGCACUCACAAUGCAAGGGCCCGGGUUUGUUCCCUGGUCAGGAAG
This 72-nucleotide transfer RNA is filed under the name Capra hircus (goat). It matches the Rfam family "tRNA". From Rfam's summary of the family: Transfer RNA (tRNA) molecules are approximately 80 nucleotides in length. Their secondary structure includes four short double-helical elements and three loops (D, anti-codon, and T loops). RNAcentral also lists the same sequence under 1 other name. The record is from Rfam by way of RNAcentral. Lineage: Eukaryota; Metazoa; Chordata; Mammalia; Artiodactyla; Bovidae.